UACGGGGGGAGCAAGCGUUGUUCGGAUUUACUGGGCGUAAGGGGCGCGUAGGCGGCCACCGCAAGUCGACUGUGAAAUCUCCGGGCUUAACCCGGAACGGUCAGCCGAUACUGCGGGGCUAGAGUGCAGAAGGGGCAACUGGAAUUCUCGGUGUAGCGGUGAAAUGCGUAGAUAUCGAGAGGAACACCUGCGGCGAAGGCGGGUUGCUGGGCUGACACUGACGCUGAGGCGCGAAAGCUAGGGGAGCGAACGGG
Molecule: ribosomal RNA, 254 nt
Filed under: uncultured bacterium
Lineage: Bacteria
Description: partial 16S ribosomal RNA
Rfam family: Bacterial small subunit ribosomal RNA
Source: RNAcentral